This 254-nucleotide ribosomal RNA is filed under the name uncultured bacterium. RNAcentral describes it as "partial 16S ribosomal RNA". It matches the Rfam family "Bacterial small subunit ribosomal RNA", at positions 524 to 776 of the family's 1533-position model. The record is from RNAcentral.
CACGUAGGGUGCGAGCGUUGUCCGGAAUUAUUGGGCGUAAAGAGCUCGUAGGCGGUGUGUCGCGUCGGCCGUGAAAACCUGCAGCUUAACUGUGGGCUUGCGGUCGAUACGGGCAUCACUGGAGUUCGGCAGGGGAGACUGGAAUUCCUGGUGUAGCGGUGAAAUGCGCAGAUAUCAGGAGGAACACCGGUGGCGAAGGCGGGUCUCUGGGCCGAUACUGACACUGAGGAGCGAAAGCGUGGGGAGCGAACAGG